RNAcentral lists this ribosomal RNA (295 nucleotides) under uncultured bacterium. RNAcentral describes it as "partial 16S ribosomal RNA". It matches the Rfam family "Bacterial small subunit ribosomal RNA", at positions 28 to 334 of the family's 1533-position model. The record is from RNAcentral.
GAUGAACGCUGGCGGCGUGCCUAACACAUGCAAGUCGAGCGAACCCUUCGGGGUGAGCGGCGGACGGGUGAGUAACGCGUGGGUAACCUGCCCUGUACACACGGAUAACAUACCGAAAGGUAUGCUAAUACGGGAUAAUAUGUUUCGAUCGCAUGGUCGAGACAUCAAAGCUCCGGCGGUACAGGAUGGACCCGCGUCUGAUUAGCUAGUUGGUGAGGUAAUGGCUCACCAAGGCGACGAUCAGUAGCCGACCUGAGAGGGUGAUCGGCCACAUUGGAACUGAGGCACGGUCCAA